Molecule: ribosomal RNA, 512 nt
Filed under: uncultured bacterium
Lineage: Bacteria
Description: bacterial SSU rRNA
Rfam family: Bacterial small subunit ribosomal RNA
Source: RNAcentral
AAUCAACGCUGGCGGCGUGCCUAACACAUGCAAGUCGAGCGCGAAAGUGGACUUCGGUCCACGAGUAGAGCGGCGAACGGGUGAGUAACGCGUGGGUGAUCUACCCUCGAGUGGGGAAUAACACCGGGAAACUGGUGCUAAUACCGCAUGACACCUUCGGUUCGUUCCGAAGGUCAAAGCCGGGGACCGUAAGGCCUGGCGCUUGAGGAGGAGCCCGCGUCCGAUUAGCUUGUUGGCGGGGUAAUGGCCCACCAAGGCUUCUAUCGGUAGCCGGCCUGAGAGGGCGGACGGCCACACUGGGACUGAGACACGGCCCAGACUCCUACGGAGGCAGCAGUGGGGAAUUUUCCGCAAUGGGGGAAACCCUGACGGAGCAACGCCGCGUGGAGGAUGAAGGCCCUCGGGUCGUAAACUCCUGUCGAUCGGGAAGAAUGCGUCCGACUUUAAUACGUCGGUGCGUUGACUGUACCGGUGGAGGAAGCCACGGCUAACUCUGUGCCAGCCGCCGCGGU